Salvia splendens (bonfire salvia) is the source of this 676-nucleotide long non-coding RNA. RefSeq lists it as uncharacterized. The record is from RefSeq and is a predicted model, not a curated record. NCBI's taxonomy places the organism in Eukaryota, Viridiplantae, Streptophyta, Magnoliopsida, Lamiales, Lamiaceae. The transcript is spliced from 2 exons.
UAUCCACCUGCACCAAUUCAUAAUAUAUGGACAUACAUAAUCAUUAGCUCCUUUCAUUUUUAUCAAGAAAUAGAGUGAGUCCAGCUUUUCACCUCAGGCUUUGCGUUUAAGGCAGCUUCGAAUUGCUUGUGGAGAUACACGAUCAAUCUCAGCUCCUAGUAUCGAUAAUGGGACCUUCACUCCUGAGAUCGAUAAUGUAGAAUUAUUGACGGUCACAAGGAUUGCUCGUCUACUAAUUAAAACUUAGAUUUACUUCAUAAAAAAUGCGCAGAGGGUAAAUAUGUCAUUUCGCUCAUUUAAUUCGUGAAUUUCGCUCCAUUCUUUCCCUCAUCGUCUGGAGUGGCGGCGGCGACUUUCUGCAUCAUCGUCUUCAGCAACAAACAUCCACACCGCAAUCACAAGCUCCGUUUCCGGAUUUACACAGACGACAAGAGAAGAAUGAAGGUGAAAGGGGCGAUUGCGGCGGUGAGUGGAGUUCCGAUAAGCAGAGCACGGGUCACUGUGGGUCGCUACUAUGAUGCAGCUCUCUGAUCAGGAAAGGGAAGGAAUCAAUCGAUGUUUGAUAAAUAAACGGUGCCCUGUUUGUUCAUCAUUGUCAAUCAAACUUUCUUGUGCUAAAUUCGUAUGUUAAAUUGUCAACUACUGUUAUUAAUUAUUAUUAUUAUUAUUAUUAUUA